UUAGUGUUACGAUAAUACUUAACAUUAAGUAGUCACUUACAAGUGCGGAACCAAGUGUAUUUUCUACAGAUAUGCAUGGGCAAACGAACAGUUUGAUAAGAACAUUUGAUCGGUUUUGUGGUGCACGAUAUAACAGAAUUAUUGAUACUAAAACCUCGCUUGCCAAACGAAUUGAAGAUAACUUGUCUGCCUGUUCGGAAAUAGAUUCGUAACAAACUAAUGUAUAUUUUCAGUAAUAUACUUAAGACAAGCGAGCCAAAUGUAUUGGAACAAAUAAUUGAUUGCUCGUAAGCAGGCAUGACACUCAUAUGUAAAACAUAUGUGAUUAUAUUCACGUGUUUUUUAGUGAAAUAUAGCGUCCAGACUUUUGGCUUUGCACAGUAUUAUAUAAGUGUGCCGAAUGAUCUAAUUACCCUCGUUCCUCAUAAUUAUGAAAAAUAUUGUCUAUCUACGGAUUUUAAAUGGAAGCCGUGUCCGAAAUACACCACAUCGACAAACGACGUAACGCCAGUGACAAAAUCAUAUAAUUUAGAUGAUCAAAUACUAUUCAGUCACCUUUUUGUGGGCAAGGAAUUUAAAGAUCAAGACUUGUAUAAUUUAUUCUUGUCAAUUCCCCCAAGUGUUCCUAAAUCAAUAGGUGGCUUAUUUAGGUAUUGGAACUGGCUAUUAAUGAACACUCCAAUAGAAUUAUAUAGUGAUGAGAUUCCGCUGCCAAUACUCAAUUAUCGUAAAGGAACUGAACUGAUUUCUUCCAAACAGAAAGAAAAUGAGCUAACUUCAAAUUUCAGUCGACUAGGAACUGACCCAAAAGAAGACUUAAUAAGUGAAUUUAUAGAUUCAUUGGAUCAACUCGAAAAGAACUUCUACGCCACAACGUACACAGCUUUGCAAGCAAUCAGCCCUUCCGAGUAUGUAAAUGGGAUCAGUUUUACACUUUCUGGAUUAUUUUUACAAAUGGCACUAAUUGCUCUAUCAACAGAAGUAGAUCAUGAAACUAGAAGAGAAUUAGAUCAGUGCACUGGCUUUUAUGUACCAGAACAGGCUAAAAUAGAAGUACUGAAAAAUAUAAUAUCAUGGCUACCUACAUCAAGUGAUCGUCUUAAAUUUCGUUACAAAACGAGAUUAGUAGUCAAACAAGGUAUUUAUCUAAGUGAAAAGUUCAUGCGAGGUGCUGCAGCAGCAGGGCGUAUCAAAAUAGAACAUUUAAAUGAUACACAAACUCCUGAAAAACUAACUGCCAUUCUUAAUAACAUGGUUGAAAUUGAUUCAGGUGGGGCCUUGCGUGAUACAUUUGAGGAUCACGAAUUGUCUGAAGGCGUUUGUGUCAUUUUGAUGACGACUGUUUACUUGCGAGCUCGCUGGAGGUCACCGCCCACUCUUUUAAAUGGAACAUUUCCAUUUUACGAUGACGAAAGAGAAAGAAACGCUCGGAUGAUUCGCAUCAAUGAUAUUAUGGGAUAUGCUGAUCUUCCAGAAUGGGAUGCCGAAGCCCUUGAGAUAAAAUAUGCAACCACCGGGUUGAGUCUUGUUCUGGUAGUGCCUAAGGGGCGAAGCCUCCGUGACGUGGCGGCUCACAUGUCAACCACAAGCAUUCAAAGCAUUGUUCGUGGAAUGCAGAGCAAGCGUAUAGCAGCUACCCUACCACUUUUUACAUUACGCAUGACUUUACUUCUACCCUCUAAAAUGCAAACAUACUACCUUCAAGUACACAUUCUAGAUGGGAAUAACGCGACUGAUGGACAAACAGUGUGAGGGUUUAAGAUUGUCUCACGCCAUUCAGAGGAUCAUGUUUUGGUCUGAAGCUGGACGAUAUGCAUUUAAAGAUGACGGAAUAGAGUGGGAUGAAACUCCAGAGCAGAGAAUCAUUUUCGAUCGGCCAUAUUUAUUUUACGUGCGAUGGCAUAAUGUCACAAUAUUAAAUGGCAACUUUGUUCUUUGAUAAGAAUACGCAAAUAACGUACAUUGUAUAUUCUUACAAAUAGGUAUAUUUUCAAUACAAAACAUAUCAAAAGCA
Pieris rapae (cabbage white) is the source of this 2014-nucleotide RNA transcript. It is a transcript of the gene named glia-derived nexin, with no coding region annotated. The transcript is spliced from 7 exons. The record is from RefSeq and is a predicted model, not a curated record. Lineage: Eukaryota; Metazoa; Arthropoda; Insecta; Lepidoptera; Pieridae.